RNAcentral lists this small nuclear RNA (161 nucleotides) under Micromonas pusilla CCMP1545. RNAcentral describes it as "U1 spliceosomal RNA". It matches the Rfam family "U1 spliceosomal RNA". Rfam says of the family: U1 is a small nuclear RNA (snRNA) component of the spliceosome (involved in pre-mRNA splicing). Its 5' end forms complementary base pairs with the 5' splice junction, thus defining the 5' donor site of an intron. Lineage: Eukaryota; Viridiplantae; Chlorophyta; Mamiellophyceae; Mamiellales; Mamiellaceae. The record is from Rfam by way of RNAcentral.
AUACUUACCUGCUCAGUGGCACACGGUGAUCCAAAAGGCCGUGGCCAUGUCUGGAACCGCCUCCCUUGCACUACGGUUGCGGUGAUAGGCAGGAACAACCCAAGCGGUUGUCUUCAUGGGAUAAUUUAUGGUAGGGUGAGGCUGCGUGCGCGCGGCUCUCG